This is a long non-coding RNA of Anguilla rostrata (American eel), 556 nucleotides long. RefSeq lists it as uncharacterized. The transcript has 3 exons. The record is from RefSeq and is a predicted model, not a curated record. Lineage: Eukaryota; Metazoa; Chordata; Actinopteri; Anguilliformes; Anguillidae.
GGCCUAUCUCCAAAUCGCGAAUUUGGUAGGAGGCAAAAAUAUGACGCGGAUAUUGUUCUGACAACCAAAAAGAACAAAAUCCAGCCCUUUUACAGACGAUGCUUAUAUCGACACGUUGUCUUUAAUCGACUUAAUCGCUGAACAAUGAUUGCAUUAAUGAAUACGGACUUGGCCUAAUAAGGGAAAUGCGGGGAUUGGAAGAAUACUUCUGCGUAAUCCAUGCAUGAAUAGGAUUGUACAGCGAUCUGUCUCAUCCGUGGAUACUGCUGUGAUGCUACCGCUAAGGACAGGGGGUUUUCUGUCUCCAGGCUGCGCUCUCAUUCCGCUCUCCACAGCUAUGCCGCUGACAGAUGAGCUCGGGGCCAGUAGGACGGAGGGCGAGCCGAAAGGUCAGACCGGAAGGACGGACGUAUACGUGCCUAGGUCCUGGGGAGCCCUUUUCCUGAACGUCCCAGUGGUCAGUCGUCACCUUCUCAAGACUUCCCAUGCUGUUCAAACAAAUGGACAGCCUCCUUGGAGCAAACCCAGGACUGAUGUGAGAGAGGACAUGUAGAGG